Long non-coding RNA from Vidua macroura (Pin-tailed whydah), 301 nucleotides. RefSeq lists it as uncharacterized. The record is from RefSeq and is a predicted model, not a curated record. The transcript is spliced from 3 exons. NCBI's taxonomy places the organism in Eukaryota, Metazoa, Chordata, Aves, Passeriformes, Viduidae.
UCCUGAAGGCAGCAUCUUAUUCCCUGUGGUCCAGAUGGAAGAGAGAAAAGGCACGGGGUGGUGAGAGAUAUAUGUGAGUUCCUCAGGUUGGACAGAUCCACGUGGACUACGAAGGUGGAGGUCUGGCAACUCAUUGGGACACCAAAAUGGACUCCUAUGCAGCUGGAGUAACUCCACAACAGUCAAUGGAGUAGUGCUGAGAAGGAAGCUUUCCUCAUCAAGUCUGCCAGAAGACAGAAAAACAAAGGUUUGGAGCAGAGGGAGGAAACCUGCACAUAUGGUGGUGCUCAGAUUGCUGUCA